This 253-nucleotide ribosomal RNA is filed under the name uncultured bacterium. RNAcentral describes it as "partial 16S ribosomal RNA". It matches the Rfam family "Bacterial small subunit ribosomal RNA", at positions 524 to 776 of the family's 1533-position model. The record is from RNAcentral.
UACGGGGGGGGCAAGCGUUGUUCGGAAUUACUGGGCGUAAAGGGCUCGUAGGCGGCCAACUAAGUCAGACGUGAAAUCCCUCGGCUUAACCGGGGAACUGCGUCUGAUACUGGAUGGCUUGAGUUUGGGAGAGGGACGCGGAAUUCCACGUGUAGCGGUGAAAUGCGUAGAGAUGUGGAGGAACACCAGUGGCGAAGGCGACUCUUUGGUCUGUAACUGACGCUGAGGCGCGAAAGCGUGGGGAGCAAACAGG